AUGGAUGAAAACCAAUGCCCCAUUCUUAGUUGGAACGUGCGGGGACUCAACAUGCCGGCCAAGCGCGACGCGGUUUGCGAGUCUGCCACUGCGCACCAGCCGGCGAUCUUCUGCCUCCAGGAGACUAAAAUCGACGUGUGGUCGCCAGCCCUAGUCAAGGACGUUGGCGGCCGCCGGCUCACUGAAUGUGUAGUUCUGCCUGCGAUAGGUUCUAGAGGAGGGGCGGCAAUCCUGUGGGAUAAUCAGAUUGUCUCGAUUGCUUCCCAUGCCAUUGGAGAAUUCGCCAUUACGGUCAAGGUCACGGUUCUC
This 309-nucleotide ribosomal RNA is filed under the name Triticum aestivum (bread wheat). RNAcentral's name for it is "partial small subunit ribosomal RNA". The record is from RNAcentral. Lineage: Eukaryota; Viridiplantae; Streptophyta; Magnoliopsida; Poales; Poaceae.